GAUGAAGAACGUAGCGAAAUGCGAUACUUGGUGUGAAUUGCAGAAUCCCGUGAACCAUCGAGUCUUUGAACGCAAGUUGCGCCCGAAGCCAUUUGGUUGAGGGCACGUCUGCCUGGGCGUCACAUAUCGUUGCCCGAUGCCUAUUGCACAGUGAUAGGAAAUUCUAGGGCGAAAGAUGGCUUCCCGUGAGCGUUGUUGCCUCGCGGUUGGUUGAAAAUCAAGUCCUUGGUAGGGUGUGCCAUGAUAGAUGGUGGUCGAGUUUGCACGAGACCGAUCAUGUGUGCGCUCCCCAAAAUAUGGACUCUUUGACCCCACACGCGUCUUUUGACGCUCAUGACGAGACCUCAGGUCAGGCGGGGCUACCCGCUGAGUUUAAGCAUAUCAAUAAGCGGAGGA
This 396-nucleotide unclassified non-coding RNA is filed under the name soil metagenome. Its description in RNAcentral is "partial contains 5.8S ribosomal RNA, internal transcribed spacer 2, and large subunit ribosomal RNA". The stretch from base 1 to 122 matches the Rfam family "5.8S ribosomal RNA", at positions 35 to 154 of the family's 154-position model. The record is from RNAcentral.